RNAcentral lists this ribosomal RNA (439 nucleotides) under uncultured bacterium. Its description in RNAcentral is "bacterial SSU rRNA". It matches the Rfam family "Bacterial small subunit ribosomal RNA", at positions 954 to 1392 of the family's 1533-position model. The record is from RNAcentral.
GCAAAACGCGAAGAACCUUACCAAGGCUUGACAUCCCUCUGACCGAUUUAGAGAUAGAUCUCUCCCUUCGGGGACAGAGGUGACAGGUGGUGCAUGGUUGUCGUCAGCUCGUGUCGUGAGAUGUUGGGCUAAGUCCCGCAACGAGCGCAACCCUUAUCUUUAGUUGCCAGCAUUUAGUUGGGCACUCUAGAGAGACUGCCGGUGACAAACCGGAGGAAGGUGGGGAUGACGUCAAAUCAUCAUGCCCCUUAUGUCUUGGGCUACACACGUGCUACAAUGGUUGGUACAAAGGGCUGCAAGCCAGCGAUGGUUAGCCAAUCCCAUAAAGCCAAUCUCAGUUCGGAUUGUAGGCUGCAACUCGCCUACAUGAAGUCGGAAUCGCUAGUAAUCGCAGAUCAGCAUGCUGCGGUGAAUACGUUCCCGGGUCUUGUACACACCG